UGCCUACGGGGGGCAGCAGUAAGGGAUAUUGGUCAAUGGGGGAAACCCUGAACCAGCAACGCCGCGUGAGGGAAGACGGUUUUCGGAUUGUAAACCUCUGUCCUCUGUGAAGAUAAUGACGGUACCUGAAGAAAAAGCUCCGGCUAACUACGUGCCAGCAGCCGCGGUAAUACGUAGGGAGCGAGCGUUGUCCGGAUUUAUUGGGUUUAAAGGGUGCGUAGGCGGGCUGUUAAGUCAGCGGUCAAAUGUCGGGGCUCAACCCCGGCCUGCCGUUGAAACUGGCGGCCUCGAGUGGGCGAGAAGUA
This 305-nucleotide ribosomal RNA is filed under the name uncultured bacterium. Its description in RNAcentral is "bacterial SSU rRNA". It matches the Rfam family "Bacterial small subunit ribosomal RNA", at positions 335 to 659 of the family's 1533-position model. The record is from RNAcentral.